Non-coding RNA from Dipodomys ordii (Ord's kangaroo rat), 68 nucleotides. Lineage: Eukaryota; Metazoa; Chordata; Mammalia; Rodentia; Heteromyidae. The record is from Rfam.
GGAUCGAUGUUGAGCACAAGGGUCUGAGGAUGGCCGAAGGACUCAAUGCAGACAUUAAGCAGAGAACU